Long non-coding RNA from Grus americana (Whooping crane), 1770 nucleotides. RefSeq lists it as uncharacterized. Lineage: Eukaryota; Metazoa; Chordata; Aves; Gruiformes; Gruidae. The record is from RefSeq and is a predicted model, not a curated record. The transcript has 5 exons.
UCAUCUGGGAAGUUACCUGCCUGUGCUCUCCCUCAUUUAGCCUAUGUCAUGAGUUGAAAUAAUGAAUUCAAGACAACCCUUUUUUCUUCCUCUUUUCUUUCAAUGUUUAAUCAUAGUCUUUUCCAAGGGACCAGUUAGCAUCUUGUAGUUAACUCAUACGCUUUCUAGGCUGCCUAGAAAGGUCAUCAAAGAUGUUUCUGAAUGUCUUCUUGCAAACUUGGAGGCUUAUCACAAAGAUUUGAGAACUGGCUGUUAAUUUGCUAGUUUUGGGUUUUAUAAUCUUAUUUUGAAACUCUGGAGGUACUGUUCUUUCAGGAUGAGGAAGAGCAGAGUUCUUUCCGGGUAUCAGUAAGAAAGGCAGAACAGCAAGUUGAAUAAGGUAGACAGUAGGAAAAGAAAUAUAGAUAGCAAGUUUUUCCUCAUGUUGAGAUGGAACUUCCCGUGUUCCAGUUUGUGCCCCUUGCCCCUUGUCCUGUCGCUGGGCACCACUGAAAAGAACCUGGCCUAUAGCAGAUGUGGCUGGCUGAAGAUCUCUAACUCCCUGAAUACACUGUCUUCUGCAAGACUCCUAAUACAGUUUAAUUGACUAUUUCUUGGGAUGAAGCAGAUCAUCUUUAAAAAAUUUUCUUCUGACAUGUUAUAAGGCAUAUAAACACGUACAACCAUUCAUUGUUUUGGAGCUGUCAUAAAGGUACCUGAGUCAUCACCAGAGGACGCUUUCAGUGAUGCUGGCUGUCUAACUCCCAUUGUCUGAGUGCCAGUCACACAUCUGAAGACUGACAUUGUUUUAUCUACUGAGGAUACUGCAAAGAUGAAUUAUUUACCUUUGAGUCCUACUGUGGUGACAGCAGUAUCACAAAGAAGCCUAUUGAUAAAUAAAUAUUAUUCUGCUGAGUGAAGAGACUCUGGAAUAAAUAAGGUCAGAACUACACAAUAAAUGGGAGGAUAAGAAGAAAUAUUGAUUAGCUGCUUAUGAAGAAAGAACCAGUCAUUUUGUGCAUCGUGUUGAAAAAUACUGGAACAUUCUUUUCUGGACAUUGUUUUUGAAAGAGAACAAGGAAACCUGUUGACUGGCUUUCAAGGAAGCUUUAUUUCUCUGCUGGGAAUUCACUGAGGACAGACAAAAAUUUGAUGGUUAUUGCUGACAGCUUACUCAACCAUCUUAAUGUGCAUCACAAGCAACAGAUGCCCUCUAUGACUAUUACCUCCUCUUCAUGAGCAGCAUGUUUUUGCUGUAUGAAGUUCAGUGGACAUUUGAAAGGAUGUAGCUUACAUAUUGUCCAAAUUAUUUUAUGGCUAAUACAUAUGGCGAAUGAGGGGUGUGGUGUCAGACAGCAUUUAUUACUGUGGUUGAUAUCUUCUUUUGAAAAUGAAAUGCAAUAUGAGCCUGGAAACAAGUUGGACAAACCUCUUACAGGUUGAUCUUGCUACUCAAAAGUCGUCUUUGGCUUUUUUUAGAGUGAAAUCAUUGUUAUUGGGGACCUGUGUAAAUAAGCACCUUGAGGAGCGAUAGCCAUGGUGACUCACACUUAUCCAAGAAUGCUACAUCAUCAUCUCCCAGUCUGAGAUUUGAAUAAGAACAAUCAAGCAACAAAGCUCGUUGUAGUAGAAAAGACUGCACUUUGUGAUGACUUUAAUACAAAAUAUGGUUUAGUAAUAGCAAUGUCUGAACUGCUGGAAACCUGCAACAGAUCUUUAGAAAGUAUAAACUGGCAUAGUUCCCCAUAGUGCUCUGCUGCUGUAAGCCAGCUGAGGUAGUGCUAUUUUAAC